GUUCGGCACCUUCAAGAAUGAGAUCACAUCUGCCGACCCGAGAGAAAUCAUCACCAAAAGCCAAGAUCCACAUCGCCGUUUCCUGCAUCUACCCGAACAAAGCCAACCUGACUCUGGGGUUCCGGCACAAGAACCCGUACGCCUUCAGCGAGUGGCUUCGGCAGCUUCAGCUUCCAGUUCGAGUUCUUCCAGAGCCAGCUCUUCAGACGGCAGGUGGAGGGCAGCAGCUACCCGGUGGAGGUGUCCCUCAAGCAGAUGGUCUACAUGCAGAUCCAGGCCUCCUCCUCCAUCCCCGACACCCAACUGUUCGUGGAGUCCUGCAGGGCCACGCCCUACGACAACCCCGAGUCCCGCGUCAGCUACACCAUCAUGGAGGACGGGUGCGUGAGGGAUCCCACCGUGCAGGUCUACCCCGGACCCGGGUCCGUCUUCCAGUUCGGGAUGGAGGCUUUUGAGUUCAUCGGCGCUCACGAUGAGGUCUACAUCACCUGCUCGGUACUCCUGUGCCAGAGCGGCAUGCCGAACACCCGCUGCUCUCAGGGAUGCCUGGAACCAGGAAGUGGUCGCAGCAGGAGGGAGGCCGGGGCUCAGACCAACAGCCACUUCAUUUCCCAGGGUCCUUUGCGCCUGAGGGCUCCUCACAGCGAAGGCUCCAUCCCGACCCUGAACCUGGUCUCCAUGCUGGUCCUGUUUGCCGGCGGCCUCCUGGCAUGCGGGCGGGGUUCUUCAGAUCCAGAAGGACCCCGAUCAAGUACCACCUACUGGUCAUCUCCGAGACCGACCAGCCAGAACAUUAGGACCACGGGCCCGAUCUGCCCGGACUCCUGCCGCCCCCUGCAGGUGGUCUCCUGUGGUACCAGACCAGGCGGUCCUUCAGGGACCAGACUGUCUCUUCUGCACAUCCCACAAAUGCUCCAGCUGGACUCCAAGCUGGUUCUCCUGGUCCUCAGAGAACUCUUGAAUUAUUUAUUAGUUAUUUAUGAGAUUCCAGGAUCUUUGUGGUUUUUAAUCCACUCAUCUCGUCAGCUGUUCAGACCUUCCAGUGUUUUUUGUGGUUGUUGUAUUUAUUGUUGUGUCGCUCUGGUGUGUAAUGUUCCCACUUCCCACUGGGAAGUUCCCAGAAAACGAUUUCAAAUGUGAUUAAGUGUUGUUUAUGCUGUGAGUCGACAUUCAGGAUGUCUACACUGCAAAAAAAAUUUACUGAAUUGUGGUAUCACACAUCCUUCAGUCAUCUUGCAAUGACUGGAGCUUUUAGCCAGGGGGUUGUGUCAUCAGAUGGUUACCAACGAUCCUCAAGUGUUUCGACCCUGAACCAUAACACUCUCCUGUUGGCGGGUCAGCAGUGGUGGCCAGCCACUACUCACUUCCCCCUGGCUGCCAGCUCAGUUCCUCUCCUGGACCUCACCUCUGCCUUUGAUACAGUGGACCACAAGAUCUUGCUUUCUCGCCUCGAAAACCUGGGCAUCAAAGGUACAGUCCUGGAGUUUUUUCCAUUCCUACUUGUCUGGUAGGACCUUCUCUGUUCAACUGGGAGACUUCACCUCUUCUGCAGCCCCCCUCUCCUGUGGGGUGCCACAAGGUUCCAUCCUAGGCCCUAUUUUAUUUAUCCUGUAUAUUCUGCCCUUAGAAGAUAUCAUA
This 1638-nucleotide long non-coding RNA is filed under the name Salarias fasciatus (jewelled blenny). RNAcentral's name for it is "lncRNA (ENSSFAG00005026377.1)". Lineage: Eukaryota; Metazoa; Chordata; Actinopteri; Blenniiformes; Blenniidae. The record is from RNAcentral.